GAUGAAACGCUGGCGGCGUGCCUAAUACAUGCAAGUCGAACGAGGUGCUUGAGUAGCAAUACGAGAGUAUCCUAGUGGCGAAACGGGUGAGUAACGCGUUGGUGACCUACCCCAAAAGUGUGGGAUAACAGUUCGAAAGGACUGCUAAUACCGCAUGUGGUUAUUGGAUUUAGAAACUGAUAACUAAAAGGAGCAAUUCGCUUUGGGAGGACCUGCGUCCCAUCAGCUAGUUGGUGAGGUAAUGGCUCACCAAGGCUACGACGGGGUAGGGGACCUGAGGAGGGUCGACCCCCCACAAUGGAACUGAAACACGGUCCAUACACC
RNAcentral lists this ribosomal RNA (324 nucleotides) under uncultured bacterium. Its description in RNAcentral is "bacterial SSU rRNA". It matches the Rfam family "Bacterial small subunit ribosomal RNA", at positions 27 to 339 of the family's 1533-position model. The record is from RNAcentral.